Molecule: non-coding RNA, 3874 nt
Organism: Phalacrocorax carbo (great cormorant)
Lineage: Eukaryota; Metazoa; Chordata; Aves; Suliformes; Phalacrocoracidae
Source: RefSeq, a predicted model, not a curated record
ACUCCAGAAACAAGACAGCAGCAAGGUAGUUUUGAACACCUUCUGCAUUUCUGUAACGGUGCUAUGCUGAGGGCACUGUCAAAGUUCAGGAGCAGAGCUAGCUCGGCUGUUUGCUGUGAACAAUUUAGGAAAUAUCCCUGGGGUUAAAUACAGUUCACAUACCUCCUGCAGUUUGCCUUUUUAAGAGGUCAGGCUGUUACCCAAAAACAAGUGGGAAAGUAAAUAGGCCUGGUUUGGUUUUUUGGGUGGUUUUUUAAGUUUUGUUUUGUUGUCUUCUGGGUUUUUUUUUCUUCUUCAUUUCUACUGAGCCAAGGUCAGCUAAAUAACUGCCACCAAUAAAGUGAAUGUUGUUCACUGGUGGCAGUCACUGGCAUCCUACUUGAACACUGUGUAAAUGUCAGGCUUUAUCCUAAUGGAAAGUGAAAAUUGACUGCAGUGGCUGAAUUAUCUGGAGACAAUCCAGAAUAAAACUGCUUGCUGUGGUGGUGUUGUUGGAUCCAAAAGCAAGGAAGCACAAGUGAUACACCCCAUUGCACAGGUAGAGGUGCUCCAUCACUGGUGUUAUUGACAGAGAGCACAAUUGGAAUACUUGUGCUCUAAGGGACCCCUGGCCUCUCCUCUGUGACUGGCUCUGCAUCAGCAAGCAGUACAGUGCAGGAGGAGUGGAUCUGUACAAGGAAGAAACCGGAACUGGAGAGCAGCCAUCCACGUUUCUUCUGGGGGUGGGGAAAGUUUCUGUGCACUUUCUCAGAGUUUUUAUGGACUGAAUAUUCACUGGAGGUUGCAGCACAUUAAAAGCACACCUGGAGCACAACUUAGAGUUUACUGUCACCUAAAGUGGUCCCCUUAGUACAGUCUGAGGCAGCUGUGUGGUGCAGACCAGAGUAAACAGGGAUUCUGAGAGGUUCGCUUCAACAGUGGUCUCCUCAUUCCAAAUGAAAUGCUAAUGUAGAUGUACCCCUUCAGUUCCUCUGCAGAGCUAAAUGCCCACCUUCCCUUCCUUUCCUUUUGCAGCAGGCUGGUUAGUACUCCAUUUUAGCUCAUAGGGAUGGGACAGACAGGCUGGCAUGGAGGUUGGGUAAGUAAGUUCAUGGCAGUUAGGGAAAGAAAGGCUUUGGAGGAGGCACUAGGAUAUUUAACUUUGAUGCAGUUGGAACACUCAUUAAAUAGUUCUUUUGGUAAAGGCAGAUGUAAAAAUACCUCACAUGAUUAUCAGAAUGAAAUAUUGAAGAUAGGUAGUAGACAGGAAAGUAUUUACUUCCCUGUUAUGAGGUGCAUGUUUUAAGAGGAACCUAAGGAGAUUUCUUGGUCGUUUCUUGUUAUAACAGUCAGCAUGCAGGAGGAAUUCUGACUUCUUGGAGUCAGAAUAUGGACCUUUUCCAUAAAGCAAAAAUUCAGCCAAAAUUCUGCUCACAAAUAUAGAAAGACUUCAUUUGAUUUUGAUUUAUCUAAACAAAAUGUUUCCAUUUUACUAAAGCAGUAAGAGAGAGUAGAGCUAUACACUUUAACAAUUCCCUGCUGAAAACAUGACCAGCCUUGCCACAUUCCUGCAAAACAGUUGGAUUCUAUCUAAACUAUAUUUUAUGAUAGAAACAUUUUCCCUUUUGAUGCAUUGCAGCCAGUUCUGGCUGUACAUCCUGAUGUGAUAUGUCUUAGCUAUCACACUGGCAAUGACACAGAAGCUUGAGGCAGGCAAGCAAGACUGAGCAACCCUGUUGUCCCCGUGAGGAAGGCUUACCACAGCUUGCAGCUGAUUGUCAUUGGACCUUUUGCUUUGUCCAUAAUGUCAGUGCUAAAUGAAAGGGAUCACUUGCUCAUUAAGCAGCGUUGGUCUUACUCUUUUCUGCAGGAAAGCUCUUUUUGUAAAAACAACUUUAUGGAUGGAACGUCCUUAGAGCAUUUAGAUUUAGGCUGUCAGGUCUUUGUGUUGCAUAGAUGGAAAGAUGUGAUGGAAGGGGAGCUUCAAUGCAGGUACCUUCCCUAAGGAAAGGCUCAUCAGAGUUUUGAUCCUUGACUCUCCUAUAGGCCUUAACUUUAUAGCUUCUUGUGACAAAUGGGCCUGGAGGAUGCAGGAGGAAGUGCUUUUACUUCCUUUUCUGUUCUUACAGGCUAUCUUGCCAGAACUUUGUGGUCCUGUGACUUUUGCCUCUUAUUCUCUUUAAUAGCACAUUUGUGCUUUUAAUAUUCUGGAUUUACACCAUUUGCUGGUCUGAAAUAAAAGCCCAUUUGCCUCUGCUGUUUUAUUAAAUAGGCUUAUAGCUGCCUUCUGUAUCGAGUUUCUUUGUUGCAAACCAGACAUCUGUUGUACAGCGUAAUGCAUGGCAGGCUGUAAUUACCCUAUGAUUUGCAUAUUCAGCCAAAGUUCAGGUGAAGGCUUGAGGUCAAAAGGCCUGGUUCUGUCAUGUCCACAGCAUUUAAAAAAUGAUGGCUUUAAUAAGGCUGGCAAGAUAAAGCAAAAAUGUUGCUCAAGGACAGUCAACUGUCCAGGAGCUGACAGUUCCCCACUAGUGAUGGCAGAAAAGUGCAUCUGUAUUGAGGGUGGUGGACCUGAUGGGCUCCCUGUGUUUACAGGACUGGCACGUGUUUUGAUUCUGCAAACAUCAUCCCUGCACAGACAGAAGUAAACACCUUACAAAAAGGGGCCUGCAACUGCAGUGUGCUGCAGGCAUUCCUUAUUUCACCUUAACUUUUGCUGUCAGUGUUCAGUGUCUUUGCUUUUUUGGCAUAUGAGCAUCACGGUGCUCAUCUCUGGUGCCUUACAGGGACAGCCUGAGAGUUGAAGGGUUUGAAAUCACCAGUAAUUUAGAAAGGACUGUCCUGCUUGUUGCCUUAUCUUUACACGCUUACUGAGUUAAUUCAGCAACUCAGGUGAGGAAAUGCACAUGGGGAUGGAGGGCAGGGAAAGGUCCAGUAGGCACUUUCCUGCAAAUCAUGCUUAUGUGCCAGGGAGGAAGAAAAGAGAGAGAGAGAAAGAGAAGAACACUGAGGUGUAUUUUAGCAACUUUCAAGAAUAUUUGAUGAUGUGAAUUACUUCAGUGAAUUUUUCUUAUUGCAUCUCACAUUGAUGGUCACCAAAGGGAGGGCCCUAAGUUGUACAGUAGCUUCUGUAAGACAGCUUUACCCUCUGCACCAAAGAUGUUCUGAGGGCCUGAAGAAAUCUUGUGCAUGUAUUAUAAUAAACAAGUUAAGGGGACUUCUGGUGACACAUUUUAUAUGCACGUUAUGUUACAUAUAAGUAAGCAAGGCUGAAGCACAGAAAAGGGAAACUCUCAAUGUCCAGGCAGGCAGGAGAAGCUUCUGUCAUACUGUGGGGUAUGUCUGGAGUCUGGGAGUUGGGGGAACCACUUCUCCAAAGGUUUGCAGCACAUAUCUGACUGCUUAUUGCUUCAGAAGCACAGUUAGGCAAGUGAGUGAAGUGCUGCUGUUAAAUUUUAGAGGAUGCAGGCAAGGGAUAGGAAACCAAAGUCAUACAGUACAAUAGCAGCUUAAAAUUAAAGUGAAAAAACAAAAAAAGGCCCUUCCCAGCUGGACUCUUACUCUGGGUUUGAGCCCAGUUGUAUUUCAAAAAUACAUGAAAGACACAACUAUGACUUUCUGCACUCUUAGUGGAAAGAAAACUCAUUUGGAAAUUAAGUAUUGCUCUUAAUGCUUAUGAUUUUGAUAUGUUAGUUUACAGAAGGGAGGCAUAUAUUAAAAAUAAUGAAGUAGCACUGGCAUUUCAAUGCCGCUCAAUUACAGCAUGUCUCUCUCUUGAGGAUGACAGUUAUUAGACUGCAGGUGUGACUAUUACCAGCAUUUCUCUGGAGAUGACUUUUUUGUUCAUGUUUGAAAAAAUGUCAUAAACCUUGUUGCCUUUGUCAUCCAUUUUUUAGCU